Phasianus colchicus (ring-necked pheasant) is the source of this 4441-nucleotide long non-coding RNA. RefSeq lists it as uncharacterized. NCBI's taxonomy places the organism in Eukaryota, Metazoa, Chordata, Aves, Galliformes, Phasianidae. The record is from RefSeq and is a predicted model, not a curated record.
CCCUUUGGUGCAGACCCUUUCCCUCACCCCCAGCUGCCCUCCCCUGACAGCUGCAUGCCCUUCCCUCGGGCCCUGUUCCCACCCGCCACCGCACAUGGAGCUGCGACUGUGGUACAUGCUGAGGAAGAAGGACUUGGAAGGUCCUGAGAACAGACACUGCUUCGGCGGCCAGAUUCUUGUAGAAGCAGUGACUGCGUUCCCUCAGAUGAGCGCCCCCAGCUGCACAGCCCAGAAGACCUUGACUUUCUAACCAUGUGAAAAGUCGUCCCCCUCCUGCUUGUAAGCUCCGUUCAAGUUCUGGAAGGCUGCAGUGAUGUCUCCAUGGAGCCUUCUCUAAGGAACUGAGGACCCUGGAAGGAAAGGAGAAAUACAGGAUCUGAUGGUUUUAGUGAGAGUGCUUGGUGAGAUGCAGGAUGAGGGUUUGUGUUCUGGUCCUGUGCCAGGAACAAUGCAAGCAAUGGCAGUCAGUCUUUGUACUUUCCUAUGAAGGUCAUGAUGCAAGUAAGCACAGAAGAAAAAUUCCUGAGAAUGUGUAAAUGAUUUUGAAGUUUUAGAAGCUUUUUGAAUCAGGUAACAGUUUCCAAUGUGCAAGUUAGGCUGAAAUUAAGAUACCAUACUUGAUUCUAAGAAGUUACCCAAGAACAUUCAACAGCUGGACACAACCAAAAGGCAAAAGUAUUCCAGAAUGUAUGCAUGCUUUAUGACAAUCAGUGGCUGGGACAGAGAAGAGACCUUAUCCAUUCCCUCCCUGGAGAAGUCAGCACUGGAUGAAUUCUGCUGAGAGGCAGCAGCAACUUGCUGGCAAGUCAACUUCUGUGCAGCUGUAACUCUGCUGUGAUGUGUGUAACCUCCUCAAGUCAGAAGGAUGGGAAGGGCUGGAGUGACAGCCCAGAGGUGUUUCUAGAGGGACACUCCUGGGUAUCUGGCAGUAUUUCAGAGAUGGAGAGAGAGACACAUCCCAGGGAAAAGAAGCAGCUGGGGUUGUUGGACUCUUGACUCAACCUCAAAGUGACUGGAUUUUGAGGUGAUGUUAUAGGGAGCUUCUCAACAGUGUCUGAAGGAACAUGGUGGAAAAUAAAUGCAAAGCAAGUGCUAGAGAAGGGGCCAUCACCAUCUCUGUUAUUACCUGGCAAGUAUUUUAUAGGUAAUUCCUAUAGAGGAAUUAUGGAGAACAAAAUGCACAACAAAACGGGGUUCACAUCUGACCUGUAAUUUUAUAAAACCUUUGCAAGUGCAUACAGUACCUCAAAAGGAGACUGUAAAUUUGACUGUAUGUUAAGCUGUGGGAAAUCUGAGUUCUUUCAGUGUCACUGUUGGGAGACUUUUAUCUAUCAAACAAUCCAAGUAUGCUCAGAUCAAGGCUGAAUCCCAGUCUGUUCCUCGGCUGCCAUCUGCUCCACUGUAAGAUAUGGUCCUGAGCAGUGCCUGUGUGUUUCUGUGUUGGAAGGAGAACAUAACACAUACAUGUAACAUGUUUAUAUCAUGAUUAUCUAUUUACCUGUAUUUGCAGUGAUGUUUGGAAAACUAUGAUUAUAGACCCAAUGUCAUAAGUUCGUAUUUCUGCUGUGAGAGAGUAUGCUCUUAUUUUUCAGGAAAGGCCAAUGCCUUGUCAAUGGAAGCACGUAAACUCCUUGGAGACACAUAGCGUGACACCCUGAAUGUUGAAGAAAGGUGCACAGGAAAAAGAAAAUGAAGAUUUGCUUUUUAUUAAGCUUCUUUAACUUCUGCUAAUGCCUUUCUGACAUCCUUAUGGUGAUGCGUGAGCAUUUCUUUUUAUUGAAAAAUAGAUAAGGUUGCUUAAGAGACUAAGUUUCCUUUAUUUCCUCCCUAUUCACACAUAUGCUAAACAGUAGCUAAUGUUUAAACAUCUCCUUAGCAAAAUGCUGAGUUCUUCUGUCACAGCUCUGUGAAGCAGCUUCUAUUCCUGUCAGGGAAUUCCAACAAGUCAGUAGCCUAAAAAUGCAUUUAAACUACUGUUGGUGAUGAGCCUUUUCCUCAGCUAUUCUGUUUCUACGUUAAGCCUGAGCUACUUAUUUCUGCAAUUCUUUUCAAGCUUAAAUCUUGCCAUGUCUGGAAACAACUGUGUUAACUUGCAGGAGGUUUGGAACAGGCUAAUGGCUAAAGAUGAGACAAUAAAAGAGAUACCACAAAAGCAGUGACCCUAUUAUGCAGAACAGUGUAAAUAUGAACUCAUUUUCCUCUAUUAAGAAAAAAAAGAAACAUUUUACUCAAGGAAGUAGAAUACAGUUUUCUUCUUAGUUAAGAUAACCUGGCAGGAAUCUGUUGGGGGCAGAAUAAAUGUUCCCUGUUCUGCAAAUGGUUAGUGAUUUUGGACACAGAUCCAAUUUAAAAAAAAAAAAUGCUAUUGGCCUUGGAGUGCAUAGGAAAGGAAAAACAGUCAAGAAGUAUCUACAGCAUAAAACUCUUACACACAUGCGUGCACAAAAAUGCAUAAGCAUGCCACUUGCAACACGGAGACAGGAAGCCAUAUGGCAUCCCUGGUUUCUCUUGCUCUCCCUGCCUACUGCAGAAGAUUGGUAUCUUUCACUGACCCUCUUGCAGAAGCAGAGUGCUGUGUUAACACAAAUGCCACAGAGCACACUGGCAUCCAAACAAGUUGGGAGGCUGAGCCAUUUUGCCUUCAGCAGCUGAAACCAUUCUGUAAGCAUUUCACAUAUAAUUAAACCUUCUUUUCCCAUCAGGUGAUCUGACCUCAGCAUAUAACUAUGCACGCCAGAACAAAAGAUGGUAAGGUAAGUCAAAUAAUGGAAUAGUGGGCAGAAACCUCCUAUUUAUAAAUAUGACAUUGCCUUGUCCAGAGAGGGAAACACUGGCUCUUCUCAGGAUCCUUGUUUCAUGCACUAUACGUCCCAUGCUUAUGUUCAUAAAUGUUUCCCUGUGAUCAGCCACCAUCUGCAGACCUAUCCAGCUGUGCUCCUGGCUGCCAGUCAUUCCCAUGUUUCUCAUAGAGAUCACACCAAGGACGUAUGCACUCAGUGUAGCUGGAGAAGUGCACUCUCCCUCAGCCACCUACUAUUUCACUGGAGCCUGUGGUUUGGCAUCAGCAACCACAGCACAGACAUUGUACUAUCACAGCAUUAAAUCUCGUCUAAUCAACACGACAAUGGUUCCAUCAGUCUGGGACAGCCAUCUUGCAGGCAGUAGUGAUGCCUCAUUCAUGAGCUGAUCCCCCUCUCUGGUUUAUUAUGGAACUGGAGGGUGAGAGCAAGCUCUUCACAGGGCUCCGUGAAGGCAGCUCUCCCCGUGCACUAACUGUAGCUGCUGCCCAUCACUCCUACUCUAGAUAUUGCUGUAAAUUCACAACUGUGGCACCAGAGACCUCAGCUGGCAAGGGCUGAGGCAAACAACAGCCGUCUCCGUUCUUCUAUGUCAGAGUGACUUCUUUGCCAAGAACUAUCACUGUCAAGUAAGGGUUAAGAAAAUGCACUGCUGAAAUGCCCUUCAUGGGCAGUGUGCAUCCCACUGCGAUAACAUCACAGCCCAAAACAGGAACAGUGCACUCAUUGGUGCAGGGUCUGUGCCUGGGCAGCAGCUGGAGAGGACACAUGGGAGAAAAUGUUGAACCAGAAGCGUUUUAUUUUUGGCAGUUUAAUAAUGGGCUAGGAACGUUUGUGAACAGGAGCUGAGGAAAGACAAACAUCUUUUCUGAGGGACAGUGAGACAGUUCCCUCAGUAGUUCAUGCUAGUGAGGCCUUGAAUCCUCACCAUCUUUCUAAAACUCCCGGCAUGGACUUACACUCACAAGCAUGAACCAAAUGUUUUCAGGCGAGCUUGCUUCACCUUGGUGUUUGCACUCAUAUUUUCAUCCAAAUGAGAGAGGGGGUCAGAGGCCUGCAGGAAGUCCAGCUUUGCAAGGUGCAUCAGCUGGGCAGGGGAGAAGGAGACAUGGAGGGGACCAACAAUGCAAAGGCCGUGCAAGGGUUUGGGGAAGAGGUAUGGGGAGCCUGCCACAGUGAGGGGGAGAUGGGAGGUCAUUAUGGGUUUUGCUGGUUGUGUUGCUCACAAAAUAUUCUUCUAGGACAUGUGAAAGGAAUGUGAAGGUGCAAGACAGCAGGAAUUAAUAUAUAAUCCGAAAUACUUUUCAAUUCCAAGUGUUUUAUAAACAUUAACAAAUCUUCAUGAGCCGUCGGAGAGGUAUUUAAGCCACAUUCCAUUGUUAUAGAUAAGAAGAUGAAAGCUCUGGCUUAAGUCCAAAGUUUUCAAAAGCACAAACUGCUUUUUAGAGCUCUGCUUGAUGCUCAGCACCAGAACUCCAAAGGGAUUGAUUUCACAUUUGCCAUCGCUGUCAAUGGGAUACUGAUUACUUCUACAAAACUAAGUUUUAACCUGCAUGCUCAAAAGCAGCUGAGAAUAGCUGCUGGAGGUUCAGGCUUCGUUGGCUUGUUGGUUUUCUCCAAUGUGUAUAAGGAGAUACUGCUUU